UACGGAGGGUGCAAGCGUUGUCCGGAUUUAUUGGGUUUAAAGGGUGCGUAGGCGGCCAUAUAAGUCAGUGGUGAAACCCUUGGGCUUAACCCAAGGAGUGCCAUUGAUACUGUAUGGCUUGGGUUAUCUCUGGGCGGGCGGAAUGGAUGGUGUAGCGGUGAAAUGCAUAGAUAUCGGGAGGAACACCUGUGGCGAAGGCGGCUUUCUGGGCCCUACCUGACGCUGAGACGCGAAAGCGUGGGGAGCGAACCGG
RNAcentral lists this ribosomal RNA (253 nucleotides) under uncultured bacterium. RNAcentral describes it as "partial 16S ribosomal RNA". It matches the Rfam family "Bacterial small subunit ribosomal RNA", at positions 524 to 776 of the family's 1533-position model. The record is from RNAcentral.